Molecule: ribosomal RNA, 253 nt
Filed under: uncultured bacterium
Lineage: Bacteria
Description: partial 16S ribosomal RNA
Rfam family: Bacterial small subunit ribosomal RNA
Source: RNAcentral
UACAGAGGGUGCAAGCGUUGUUCGGAAUUACUGGGCGUAAAGCGCGUGUAGGCGGUUGUCCAAGUUGGAUGUGAAAGCCUUGAGCUUAACUCAAGAAAUGCAUUCAGGACUGGAUGACUAGAGGACCGGAGAGGAUAGUGGAAUUCCCAGUGUAGUGGUGAAAUACGUAGAGAUUGGGAAGAACACCAGUGGCGAAGGCGGCUAUCUGGACGGUUUCUGACGCUAAGACGCGAAAGCGUGGGGAGCAAACAGG